ACGGGAGGCAGCAGUGGGGAAUAUUGCACAAUGGGGGAAACCCUGAUGCAGCGAUGCCGCGUGGAGGAAGAAGGUUUUCGGAUUGUAAACUCCUGUCUUAAAGGACGAUAAUGACGGUACUUUAGGAGGAAGCUCCGGCUAACUACGUGCCAGCAGCCGCGGUAAUACGUAGGGGGCAAGCGUUGUCCGGAAUGAUUGGGCGUAAAGGGCGCGUAGGCGGCCCGAUAAGUCUGGAGUGAAAGUCCCGUCUUCAAGAUGGGAAUUGCUUUGGAUACUGUCGGGCUUGAGUGCAGGAGAGGUUAGUGGAAUUCCCAGUGUAGCGGUGAAAUGCGUAGAGAUUGGGAGGAACACCAGUGGCGAAGGCGACUAACUGGACUGUAACUGACGCUGAGGCGCGAAAGUGUGGGGAGCAAACAGGAUUAGAUACCCUGGUA
RNAcentral lists this ribosomal RNA (434 nucleotides) under uncultured bacterium. Its description in RNAcentral is "partial 16S ribosomal RNA". It matches the Rfam family "Bacterial small subunit ribosomal RNA", at positions 341 to 792 of the family's 1533-position model. The record is from RNAcentral.